CCCUUAGACGUUCUGGGCCGCACGCGCGCUACACUGACGAAGGCAACGAGCCUUCCUUUACCGAAAGGUACGGGUAAUCUUUUGAAACUUCGUCGUACUGGGGAUAGAUCCUUGCAAUUUUUGAUCUUAAACGAGGAAUUCCUAGUAAGCGCAAGUCAUCAACUUGCGUUGAUUACGUCCCUGCCCUUUGUACACACCGCCCGUCGCUACUACCGAUUGAAUGGUUUAGUGAGGCCUUCGGAUCCGCGACUCGUUUUGUGGAGAAGUUGGACAAACUCAGUCAUUUAGAGGAAGUAAAAGUCGUAACA
RNAcentral lists this ribosomal RNA (308 nucleotides) under uncultured eukaryote. RNAcentral's name for it is "partial 18S ribosomal RNA". It matches the Rfam family "Eukaryotic small subunit ribosomal RNA", at positions 1470 to 1796 of the family's 1831-position model. The record is from RNAcentral.